RNAcentral lists this ribosomal RNA (468 nucleotides) under uncultured bacterium. Its description in RNAcentral is "partial 16S ribosomal RNA". It matches the Rfam family "Bacterial small subunit ribosomal RNA", at positions 28 to 507 of the family's 1533-position model. The record is from RNAcentral.
GACGAACGCUGGCGGCGUGCUUAACACAUGCAAGUCGAACGGAAAGGCCCUGCUUUUGUGGGGUGCUCGAGUGGCGAACGUGUGUGUAACACGUGUGUAACCUGCCCUUUACUUUGGUAUAACUUCAGGUAACUGGUGCUAAUACCGGAUAUGAGCUCCUGCUGCAUGUUGGGGGUUGGAAAGUUUCGGCGGUUGGGGAUGGACUCGCGGCUUAUCAGCUUGUUUGUGGGGUAGUGGCUUACCAAGGCUUUGACGGGUAGCCGGCCUGAGAGGGUGACCGGCCACAUUGGGACUGAGAGAGGGAGCAGAGUCCAACGGGAGGAAGCAGGGGGGAAUAUUGCACAAUGGGAGGAAGCAUGAUGAAGCAACGCAGCGUGCGGGAUGACGGCCUUCGGGUUGUAAACCGAUUUCGAAUGUGACGAAGCGUGAGUGACGGUAAUGGGUAAAGAAGCACCGGCUAACUACGUG